AGGAUAAACGCUGGCGGCGUGCCUAACACAUGCAAGUCGAACGCGCUUUCGGGCUUCGGUGCGAGAGCGAGUGGCGGACGGGUGAGUAACACAUGGGUACCUACCUUGGAGUGAGGGAUACCGGCGAGAAAUCGCCGACAAUACCGCAUAGGCUUCUUCACAAGGGAAGCAAAGUGACGCGAGUCACGCUUUGAGAUGGGCCUGUGGCCGAUUAGCUAGUUGGGGGGGUAACGGCUUCCCAAGGCGACGAUCGGUAGCUGGUCUGAGAGGACGAUCAGCCGGAUUGGGACUGAGAUACGGCCCAGACUCCUACGGGGGGCAGCAAUUAGGAAUCUUGCGCAAUGGGCGAAAGCCUGACGCAGCGACGUCGCGUGAAGGAUGAAAUCUUUCGGGAUGUAAACUUCUUUUUUCGGGGAAGAAACAAAUGACGGUACCCGAAGAAUAAGCCCGGCUAACUACGCGCCAGCAGCCGC
This 473-nucleotide ribosomal RNA is filed under the name uncultured bacterium. Its description in RNAcentral is "SSU rRNA". It matches the Rfam family "Bacterial small subunit ribosomal RNA", at positions 26 to 518 of the family's 1533-position model. The record is from RNAcentral.